GACGGAGGAGGCUAGCGUUGUUCGGAAUUACUGGGCGUAAAGCGUACGCAGGUGGCGAAGCAAGUCGGAUGUGAAAGCCCGGGGCUCAACCCCGGAUGUGCAUCCGAUACUGUUUUGCUGGAGUCCGGAAGAGGAGAGCGGAAUUCCCAGUGUAGAGGUGAAAUUCGUAGAUAUUGGGAAGAACACCGGUGGCGAAGGCGGCUCUCUGGUCCGGUACUGACACUCAAGUACGAAAGCGUGGGGAGCAAACAGG
RNAcentral lists this ribosomal RNA (253 nucleotides) under uncultured bacterium. RNAcentral's name for it is "partial 16S ribosomal RNA". It matches the Rfam family "Bacterial small subunit ribosomal RNA", at positions 524 to 776 of the family's 1533-position model. The record is from RNAcentral.